Molecule: ribosomal RNA, 478 nt
Filed under: uncultured bacterium
Lineage: Bacteria
Description: partial 16S ribosomal RNA
Rfam family: Bacterial small subunit ribosomal RNA
Source: RNAcentral
GAUGAACGCUGGCGGCGUGCCUAACACAUGCAAGUCGAACGGAAAGGAGCCGUUGAGGCCGUCGGGUCAAGGGGGGGAAGGCUGAGUGGCGGACGGGUGAGUAACACGUGGGCAACGUGGAUCUUAGAGGGGGAUGGCAGAGAGCAAUUUCUGCUAAUACCGCAUAAGCAGACGCUGGGGCAUGGCAGGGGGUGGAAGGAGAAUCGCUAUGAGAUCGACCCGUGUCUGAUUAGGCGGUUGGCAGGGUAAGAGCCUAGCAAAGCGACGAUCAGUACCAGAUGUGAGAGGAUGAACGGUCACAUUGGGACUGAGACACGGCCCAAACUCCUACGCGAGGGAGCAGUGGGGUAUAUUGCACAAGGGAGGGAACCCUGAUGCAGCCGCGCCGCGUGAGUGAAGAAUUAUUUCGGUAUGUAAAGCUCUAUCAGCAGGGAAGUUAGUGACAGUACCUGAAUAAGAAGCCCCGGCUAACUACGUG